Molecule: long non-coding RNA, 175 nt
Organism: Sebastes umbrosus (honeycomb rockfish)
Lineage: Eukaryota; Metazoa; Chordata; Actinopteri; Perciformes; Sebastidae
Exons: 2
Source: RefSeq, a predicted model, not a curated record
AUCAACACUCCAUCUAGGAAUAAACACGGCAGCAACAACAUCAGUGAUGACAUCAACUUUGGUAUCAUACAAAGCUGAUGGAGUAAAUGUGACUAGGAGAGAAUAACUGAGGCAGUUUUCCUCCUGAAACACCACAAAGUCCAGUGUUCAUGUUUAGAGUCAGUCAGUCUCUGUU